AUUACAGCUGAAUAACAUGUUAUUCGAAGGUGUUACUUCUGAAUAACAAAACCGUUCGCACUAGCAUUUUAGGUAAUACUAUUUGACAGCUGACAGCAUGUGUCAAGCGCCAAAUUUUUUCGAGCAGUUUGUUGUUUGUUUACAAAUAUGCAGCGAGAUUCUUCAAAUUAGAAUUCAAUUAUUAUUAAACAAUUAAUCUGUUUGGGAUUAAAGAACUGUUCAGCAGUAAUGAGAUUUAUUAAUUUGCUAUUCUCUUCGUAAUUGCAAGAAGCGGACCAAACUCCGAAGGCGUGAGUUCAGUAUGGGAUGAAACUGAUAGUGAUUAGUGUGCGCCAAAAAGCCAGAAGUAUUUGUGUGCUCCGUUUAAAUUUUAUUUUGCUCAUUUUUCCUUCGGAAAUCGGCUAGGAACUGUGGUUACAAGUAGGUUUCGUCACCGGUGAAUGGGAUGUGAAGUUGAGGAUUCCAUAAAUAUUACACAGCUGGCUCGCGCAGAAAGCAUCGAUGGAGCCUGGAAGGUCAAGAUGGAUCAGAAAUAAUACAAUCGUUAGCAGCUGCGAGGCGAGCCAACGUGAAUUCAAGUUAAACAAAAUUGUAUCGCCAAAACAGUGUGACAAUGGAAUUCACGGAAAAACUUCAGGGCGAGAAAACAGGAUUCCUGGAACCCGAACUAACUCGAGAACUCUACGAUGGGAAUUCCAAAAAUAUUCAGUGUUAUCGUUUGGAGCGACCGACGGCUUUUUACUGUGAUGCGUCUAGUCCUUGGACCCAAUGGGAAGUGUCAUCAGUGUUGGUUGUCCUCCCCUAUUCGGUUAUAUCGUUGAUCGGAUUAUUCUGGACUUAUUUUAUAGAUCCAGUUUUGCUUAAAAGGUUACCAAUCGGAAAACCACAAGUUGCCGGUAGUGAUAGUAUUAUAAUUGGUUUUGAGAGUAAGAAACCCACCGUCGUUUCACCCACAAGAGGAUGUACGAAGUAACUUCCAAUUUUUAUGAUAAAAUAACAAUUAAACAACGCAGAAUGAUAUCGCACGUAAUCAUCAUCAGAUGAGAUAGUAUUAGUUGCCAAAAUCAGCUAAAACCAUUCAUCACAUUCCAUUUAUAUCUCAACUUAGGUGAACGAGGGCAGGCACGGAACUACGUUGCUGUGUUUUGCUAGGAAGGGAUCGUGAAGUACUACUAACUAUAAUAG
Armigeres subalbatus is the source of this 1185-nucleotide long non-coding RNA. RefSeq lists it as uncharacterized. The record is from RefSeq and is a predicted model, not a curated record. NCBI's taxonomy places the organism in Eukaryota, Metazoa, Arthropoda, Insecta, Diptera, Culicidae. The transcript has 3 exons.